RNAcentral lists this ribosomal RNA (465 nucleotides) under uncultured bacterium. Its description in RNAcentral is "partial 16S ribosomal RNA". It matches the Rfam family "Bacterial small subunit ribosomal RNA", at positions 28 to 507 of the family's 1533-position model. The record is from RNAcentral.
GAUGAACGCUGGCGGCGUGCCUAACACAUGCAAGUCGAGCGGAGAAUUGUUGCUUGCAACAAUUCUUAGCGGCGGACGGGUGAGUAACACGUGGGUAACCUGCCCUAAACAAAGGGAUAACAAUUAGAAAUCAUUGCUAAUACCGUAUAAGCUUACACUAUCGCAUGAUAGAGUAAGAAAAGAUUUAUCGGUUUAGGAGGGGCCCGCGUCUGAUUAGCUAGUUGGAGAGGUAACGGCUCACCAAGGCGACGCUCAGUAGCCGACCUGAGAGGGUGAUCGGCCACAUUGGGACUGAGACACGGCCCAAACUCCUACGGGAGGCAGCAGGGGGGAAUAUUGCAGAAUGGAGGAAACGCUGAUGCAGCAACGCCGCGUGAAGGAAGAAGGUUUUCGGAUCGUAAACUUCUAUCUACAGGGAAGAAAAAAAUGACGGUACCUGAGUAAGAAGCCCCGGCUAACUACGUG